This 731-nucleotide ribosomal RNA is filed under the name Helvella nannfeldtii. Its description in RNAcentral is "eukaryotic LSU rRNA". It matches the Rfam family "Eukaryotic large subunit ribosomal RNA", at positions 53 to 799 of the family's 3401-position model. Lineage: Eukaryota; Fungi; Ascomycota; Pezizomycetes; Pezizales; Helvellaceae. The record is from RNAcentral.
GGGGAAAAACCAACAGGGAUUGCCCCAGUAACGGCGAGUGAAGCGGCAGGAGCUCAAAUUUGAAAUCUGGGGUUACCAACCUCUGAGUUGUAAUUUGGAGAGGUGCCUUUUGGGGGGAGCACUGGCUGAUGUUCCUUGGAACAGGACGUCGCAGAGGGUGAGAAUCCCGUGCUAGGCCAGCUGCCUCCUCCUGUGUGAAGUGCCUUCGACGAGUCGAGUUGUUUGGGAAUGCAGCUCCAAGUGGGUGGUAAAUUUCAUCUAAAGCUAAAUACUAGUGGGAGACCGAUAGCGCACAAGUAGAGUGAUCGAAAGAUGAAAAGCACUUUGAAAAUAGAGUCAAAAAGUACGUGAAAUUGUUGAAAGGGAAGCGCUUGAGACCAGACUCAGACCUGAGCAAACAUUGUGCCCCUUGGGGCCAUGCAAUUGCCUGGGGCUGGGCCAGCAUCAGUUGGUGUGGCAGGACAAUGGUGUGGGGAAUGUGGUUCCCCUUGGGGAGUGUUAUUAGUCCCAUGCUCAAUGCUGUCAAUGCCGACUGAGGACCGCGCCUCGGCUAGGAUGCUGGCUCAAUGGCCUUCAGCGACCCGUCUUGAAACACGGACCAAGGAGUCUAACAUCUAUGCGAGUGUUUGGGUAUCAAACCCUUGCGCGGAAUGAAAGUGAACGGAGGUGGGAACCCCUUGCUGGGCGCACCAUCGACCGAUCCUGAUGUCUUCGGAUGGAUUUGAGUAGGA